Molecule: ribosomal RNA, 236 nt
Filed under: uncultured bacterium
Lineage: Bacteria
Description: partial 16S ribosomal RNA
Rfam family: Bacterial small subunit ribosomal RNA
Source: RNAcentral
GAUCAUGGCUCAGAUUGAACGCUGGCGGCAGGCCUAACACAUGCAAGUCUAACGGUAACAGAAAGCAGCUUGCUGCUUUGCUGACGAGUGGCGGACGGGUGAGUAAUGUCUGGGAAACUGCCUGAUGGAGGGGGAUAACUACUGGAAACGGUAGCUAAUACCGCAUAACGUCGCAAGACCAAAGAGGGGGACCUUCGGGCCUCUUGCCAUCGGAUGUGCCCAGAUGGGAUUAGUCG